AACGAGCGCUGGCGGCAUGCCUAACACAUGCAAGUCGAACGAUUGCCUUCGGGUGAUAGUGGCGCACGGGUGCGUAACGCGUGGGAAUCUGCCCUUAGGUUCGGAAUAACAGCUGGAAACGGCUGCUAAUACCGGGUGAUAUCGCGAGAUCAAAGAUUUAUCGCCUGAGGAUGAGCCCGCGUUGGAUUAGGUAGUUGGUGGGGUAAAGGCCUACCAAGCCGACGAUCCAUAGCUGGUCUGAGAGGAUGAUCAGCCACACUGGGACUGAGACACGGCCCAGACUCCUACGGGAGGCAGCAGUGGGGAAUAUUGGACAAUGGGCGCAAGCCUGAUCCAGCAAUGCCGCGUGAGUGAUGAAGGCCCUAGGGUUGUAAAGCUCUUUUACCCGGGAAGAUAAUGACUGUACCGGGAGAAUAAGCCCCGGCUAACUCCGUG
This 435-nucleotide ribosomal RNA is filed under the name uncultured bacterium. RNAcentral describes it as "partial 16S ribosomal RNA". It matches the Rfam family "Bacterial small subunit ribosomal RNA", at positions 29 to 507 of the family's 1533-position model. The record is from RNAcentral.